Molecule: ribosomal RNA, 253 nt
Filed under: uncultured bacterium
Lineage: Bacteria
Description: partial 16S ribosomal RNA
Rfam family: Bacterial small subunit ribosomal RNA
Source: RNAcentral
UACGUAGGGCGCAAGCGUUAUCCGGAAUUAUUGGGCGUAAAGAGCUCGUAGGCGGUUUGUCGCGUCUGCCGUGAAAGUCCGGGGCUCAACUCCGGAUCUGCGGUGGGUACGGGCAGACUAGAGUGAUGUAGGGGAGACUGGAAUUCCUGGUGUAGCGGUGAAAUGCGCAGAUAUCAGGAGGAACACCGAUGGUGAGGGCAGGUCUCUGGGCAUUAACUGACGCUGAGGAGCGAAAGCAUGGGGAGCGAACAGG